RNAcentral lists this ribosomal RNA (458 nucleotides) under uncultured Gammaproteobacteria bacterium. RNAcentral describes it as "partial 16S ribosomal RNA". The record is from RNAcentral. Lineage: Bacteria; Pseudomonadati; Pseudomonadota; Gammaproteobacteria.
UUGCGUUAGCUGCGCUACAAAGGUCUCAAGUACCCCUACAGCUAGUAGACAUCGUUUACGGCGUGGACUACCGGGGUAUCUAAUCCCGUUUGCUCCCCACGCUUUCGCACCUCAGCGUCAAUGUCGAGCCAGGAGGCCGCCUUCGCCACUGGUAUUCCUCCAUAUAUCUACGCAUUUCACUGCUACACAUGGAAUUCUACCUCCCUCUCCCGCAUUCUAGUCAUCCAGUAUCGGAUGCAGUUCCCAGGUUAAGCCCGGGGCUUUCACAUCCGACUUAAAAAACCGCCUACGCGCGCUUUACGCCCAGUAAUUCCGAUUAACGCUUGCACCCUCCGUAUUACCGCGGCUGCUGGCACGGAGUUAGCCGGUGCUUCUUCUAAAGGUAACGUCAGGGCUAAUGGCUAUUAACCAUUAGCUUUUCCUCCCAAUUGAAAGUGCUUUACAACCCUAGGGCCUUC